Molecule: ribosomal RNA, 253 nt
Filed under: uncultured bacterium
Lineage: Bacteria
Description: partial 16S ribosomal RNA
Rfam family: Bacterial small subunit ribosomal RNA
Source: RNAcentral
UACGUAGGGUGCAAGCGUUGUCCGGAAUUAUUGGGCGUAAAGAGCUCGUAGGCGGCUUGUCGCGUCGGAUGUGAAAGCCCGGGGCUUAACUCCGGGUCUGCAUUCGAUACGGGCAGGCUAGAGUGUGGUAGGGGAGAUCGGAAUUCCUGGUGUAGCGGUGAAAUGCGCAGAUAUCAGGAGGAACACCGGUGGCGAAGGCGGAUCUCUGGGCCAUUACUGACGCUGAGGAGCGAAAGCGUGGGGAGCGAACAGG